CGGAGGAAAAGAAACUAACAAGGAUUCCCUCAGUAACGGCGAGUGAAGCGGGAAGAGCUCAAGCUUAAAAUCUCCACAUUUGUGGCGAAUUGUAGUCUAUUGAGGCUGUUGUCAGCACAGCGACUUGGGACAAGUCCCUUGGAAGAGGGCAGCAUGGAGGGUGAUACUCCCGUCUCUGCUCAAGUUGUCUGUGUGUACGAUACGCUUUCUUUGAGUCGAGUUGUUUGGGAAUACAGCUCAAAGUAGGUGGUAAAUUCCAUCUAAAGCUAAAUAUUGGUGCGAGACCGAUAGCGAACAAGUACCGUGAGGGAAAGAUGAAAAGAACUUUGAAAAGAGAGUUAAAGAGUACCUGAAACUGUUGAAAGGGAACCGUAUCGUUUCUAGUGUUUAUCCUAUGCAUAUUUCAUUGGCGGUUGCAAAAUUGCUGGUGCCCUGUGCAUGGGUGUGACGUCAGAGUCAGUUUAAAUUGCKGGAGAUGGGUAGGGAGGAGGUGCGUCACUUCGGUGAAAGUUACAGCUCUCUGCUUAGUAGCCGUGGUUAAGACUGAGGUGCCUACAACAUGCUUUGGGGUCUGCUGUUGUCUCGUUUUAGUGAUUGUCUGGAUAGCUUGCUAUGCUGGUGAUUAGUGAGGCGAUUGAUAAUAGUAGUAACCUCUGAUGUUCCGGGACUCUGGCGAAAUGGAGCGAUCGACCCGCUUGA
Molecule: ribosomal RNA, 699 nt
Filed under: Aphanomyces astaci
Lineage: Eukaryota; Oomycota; Saprolegniomycetes; Saprolegniales; Verrucalvaceae
Description: LSU rRNA
Rfam family: Eukaryotic large subunit ribosomal RNA
Source: RNAcentral